GCAGUCGCCGCGGUAAUACCGAGGGUGCAAGCGUUAAUCGGAAUUACUGGGCGUAAAGCGCGCGUAGGUGGUUCGCCAAGUUGGAUGUGAAAUCCCCGGGCUCAACCUGGGAACUGCAUCCAAAACUGGCGAGCUAGAGUAUGGUAGAGGGUGGUGGAAUUUCCUGUGUAGCGGUGAAAUGCGUAGAUAUAGGAAGGAACAUCAGUGGCGAAGGCGACCACCUGGACUGAUACUGACACUGAGGUGCGAAAGCGUGGGGAGCAAACAGGAUUAGAUACCCCAGUAGUCCCUGUCUCUUAUAC
RNAcentral lists this ribosomal RNA (302 nucleotides) under uncultured bacterium. RNAcentral describes it as "partial 16S ribosomal RNA". It matches the Rfam family "Bacterial small subunit ribosomal RNA", at positions 508 to 807 of the family's 1533-position model. The record is from RNAcentral.